AACCAUAGAAACCUGCGGAGUACCUGCGGAGGGAUCAUCAUUGAAAACAAAUUUGGACAAGGGGAUUGUGAUUGACGGGGGGGAGGGGAAAGUUUUAUUUCCUGAGCCUUGAGAGAACAACCUCUUGGACAAAAACAACCAAUCUUCAUGACUAGGAAAAAACACAGUAAAGUAAACCAGUGGUUUGGGGGGGGGCAUAAACAACAAACAAGUUCUUGUCUGACAAGUAGUGUUUGGUGA
This 240-nucleotide unclassified non-coding RNA is filed under the name soil metagenome. RNAcentral's name for it is "partial contains 5.8S ribosomal RNA, internal transcribed spacer 2, and large subunit ribosomal RNA". The record is from RNAcentral.